RNAcentral lists this ribosomal RNA (465 nucleotides) under Vreelandella stevensii. RNAcentral describes it as "partial 16S ribosomal RNA". It matches the Rfam family "Bacterial small subunit ribosomal RNA", at positions 338 to 795 of the family's 1533-position model. Lineage: Bacteria; Pseudomonadati; Pseudomonadota; Gammaproteobacteria; Oceanospirillales; Halomonadaceae. The record is from RNAcentral.
CCUACGGGCGGCUGCAGUGGGGAAUAUUGGACAAUGGGGGCAACCCUGAUCCAGCCAUGCCGCGUGUGUGAAGAAGGCCCUCGGGUUGUAAAGCACUUUCAGUGAGGAAGAACGCCUGGUGGUUAAUACCCAUCAGGAAAGACAUCACUCACAGAAGAAGCACCGGCUAACUCCGUGCCAGCAGCCGCGGUAAUACGGAGGGUGCGAGCGUUAAUCGGAAUUACUGGGCGUAAAGCGCGCGUAGGUGGCUUGAUAAGCCGGUUGUGAAAGCCCCGGGCUCAACCUGGGAACGACAUCCGGAACUGUCAAGCUAGAGUGCAGGAGAGGAAGGUAGAAUUCCCGGUGUAGCGGUGAAAUGCGUAGAGAUCGGGAGGAAUACCAGUGGCGAAGGCGGCCUUCUGGACUGACACUGACACUGAGGUGCGAAAGCGUGGGUAGCAAACAGGAUUAGAUACCCGUGUAGUC